AUUGAACGCUGGCGGCAUGCCUUACACAUGCAAGUCGAACGGAAACAGGUCUUCGGAUGCUGACGAGUGGCGAACGGGUGAGUAAUACAUCGGAACGUGCCUAGUAGUGGGGGAUAACUACUCGAAAGAGUGGCUAAUACCGCAUGAGAUCUACGGAUGAAAGCAGGGGAUCGCAAGACCUUGUGCUACUAGAGCGGCCGAUGGCAGAUUAGGUAGUUGGUGGGAUAAAAGCUUACCAAGCCGACGAUCUUGAGAUGGUCUGAGAGGACGAUCAGCCACACUGGGACUGAGACACGGCCCAGACUCCUACGGGAGGCAGCAGUGGGGAAUUUUGGACAAUGGGCGAAAGCCUGAUCCAGCAAUGCCGCGUGCAGGAUGAAGGCCUUCGGGUUGUAAACUGCUUUUGUACGGAACGAAAAGCCCCGGGUUAAUACCCUGGGGUCAUGACGGUACCGUAAGAAUAAGCACCGGCUAACUACGUGCCAGCCGCCGCGGUAA
Molecule: ribosomal RNA, 498 nt
Filed under: uncultured bacterium
Lineage: Bacteria
Description: partial 16S ribosomal RNA
Rfam family: Bacterial small subunit ribosomal RNA
Source: RNAcentral